RNAcentral lists this ribosomal RNA (513 nucleotides) under uncultured bacterium. RNAcentral describes it as "bacterial SSU rRNA". It matches the Rfam family "Bacterial small subunit ribosomal RNA", at positions 8 to 522 of the family's 1533-position model. The record is from RNAcentral.
AGAGUUUGAUCCUGGCUCAGAACGAACGCUGGCGGCGUGCCUAACACAUGCAAGUCGAGGGGUAUCACGCUUUCGGGCGUGAGAGACCGGCGCACGGGUGCGUAACGCGUAUAGAACCUACCUUUUACAGAGGGAUAGCCCAGAGAAAUUUGGAUUAAUACCUCAUAAUAAGUUUUACCGGCAUCGGUAGAACUUUAAAGCUCCGGCGGUAAGAGAUGGGCAUGCGUGCCAUUAGCUAGUUGGUGAGGUAAUGGCUUACCAUGGCGACGAUCGGUAGCCGGACUGAGAGGUUGAACGGCCACAUUGGGACUGAGACACGGCCCAGACUCCUACGGGAGGCAGCAGUGGGGAAUUUUGGACAAUGGGCGCAAGCCUGAUCCAGCCAUGCCGCGUGCAGGAUGACGGCCCUAUGGUUGUAAACUGCUUUUAUACAGGAAGAACACUCCCUCGUGAGGGAACUUGACGGUACUGUAUGAAUAAGCACCGGCUAACUCCGUGCCAGCAGCCGCGGUG